GGUGAGAAUUCUGUGAGAUUAUGCAUGCAAAGUGCUGAGCAUGGGGCCUGGCUCAUAGAAAGUAUCAAAUAAGUGGUAGACAAGUUGUCAUUUUCACUUGUGGUUGAUAAUUUCCACUUUUGCCUUUCUGCAGCCCAGAGACAGAAGCAGAUAAUGCAAGUGUCAUCUACAUCUGGCAAAAGCCAAAGGUUUGGAAGAUGGAAAAAGGAAUCCAGGCAAAAAGGAGCCCAAGAUUGAAGUGAAUGACCAGGUGCACCAGUUCAAAUGCAAUCAGGAGGGACAGGGGUAGAGGGAGAAGCCUAGAGCAGCGCUUCUCAAACUGACUAUUCAAGUCACCUGGAGAUCUUGGUGAAAUGCAGACUCUGGUGCAGUAGGUCCUGGCGGGAACUUGAAAUUCUGCAUUUUGACCAAGGUCCAAGGUGAAUGUCCAGUGCUGUUGUCCUUGGCCUGCAGCAGGAGGAGCAGGGAUCUAAGACUUGGAGAGCAAAUGUCAAGCUCAGAAGAAAGACUGGAAGUUUGGGGACAAAACCCAAAUAUGGCUAAAGAAAGCCUGUAGGAUGAAGUUGGAAGUUCCAGAGCCUUCUCUUCACAUAAUGGGACAUGCAAGGGGGAAACCAAAUCAAAAGUGUAGAAUGCGUCGCUGGAUGUCUUUGACAUGUUAUUGUUCUGAUAGAAUAUCAGCGGGGAGCUACUGAGGACCUCCUCACUACCCUCCCUUGGAAGAGUUUGUCUGCAAUGGAGCCAACACAGUGGAAAGCAGAGCUGAGAAAUGGACAAACAACUCCUGAUGCCUCAUUUGAGCACCUGGAUUUAGCCAUGUCUGAAGCUAUUAUAUCCUUGAACUUUUGAAUCAUGUAGGUUACCAUAAUUCCUUUUUUGUUAAAGCUAAUUUGAGUUGGGUUUCUAUCACUUGCAAUCAACAAUUGACCAGGUGCUUAGUACAUAAUGAAUGAGUGAAUGAACAAAUUCAAUUCUGUAAGUAUUUAUCAUCUCCUUACACGGCAGGCACUGUUUUAAGUCCCAAAGAAAGAGGCAGAGGAGCGACAGAGAUGACUUCCUCCCUUGAAAACGAAGCAUGUGGCCUGACAACCUAAAAUUGGGGUCAAUCCAUCCAAUUAUGGUGACUGCUUAGAAAUAUCCCUUUUCCUCCCAACGUUUUCCUUUCCUUCUCCCAUAAACAUAAUAAUGUCUCCUGCCAGUACUAAGGCAUGGCCCAUGGACCCACUAACACCUAUGCUCACGUUAGCUCUUGAGGCCGAGUGGCUUGGUUCUAUCUGGUUAUCAGAUGCAAACUUCAUCACAGCAGGGAUUUGGGCUAGACAUUAGAGGAAUAGUGUGGUACCAGAUGGUGUUUCUGAAGAAGGUUGUCCUAUUUUUGCAGUUUAAGGAUUUGAUAAUAAAUCUGCCUGGCAGCCCUCAGAUGUGA
This is a long non-coding RNA of Homo sapiens (human), 1426 nucleotides long. Ensembl annotates it as long intergenic non-protein coding RNA 877. Lineage: Eukaryota; Metazoa; Chordata; Mammalia; Primates; Hominidae. The record is from Ensembl.